AACCUUUGCUGUCUUGGGACGGAUCACCGCUGCAAGAGGGGAAGUUGCUACUGUGAUGAAUUCUGCCAUGUGGCACCAGACUGCCACCCAGACCACAGUGUCCUCUGCAACCCUGGUAACUCACAUACAGGCCCGAUUCCACCUACAGCAAAGCUGGAUGCGAUGGCUGGCAGAGGCAAACCCUUUGCCUGCACUUCAGGCCAAAGCCGGGAUGUGGCCUAGAUGGUUCCUAAGGUCCCUGACAAUCCUGAGAUCUUGCAUCUUGUCUAUUUCAGGUCAAAGCUUCUCAGAUGACCAAGAUGGUGCUGCAGAUGGUGCUGAGGAUGGAGAACCCACCAAGCCCCGCUAGGAGCCACCUAGACUGGAUGCAGAGCAUGGUGAAAAUGGAGGUUUCCUCCUCCUGUGGCUGAGUGUGGCUUCCCCGGAAGACCUCACUGACCCCAGAGUGGCAGAAAGGCUGAUGCAGCAGCUCCACCGGGAACUCCACGCCCACGCGCCUCACUUCCAGGUCUCCUUACUGCGUGUCAGGAGAGGCUAACGGACAUCAGCUGCAGCCAGGCAUGUCCCGUAUGCCAAAAGAGGGUGCUGCCCCUAGCCUGGGCCCCCACCGACAGACUGCAGCUGCGUUACUGUGCUGAGAGGUACCCAGAAGGUUCCCAUGAAGGG
This 666-nucleotide unclassified non-coding RNA is filed under the name Homo sapiens (human). RNAcentral describes it as "MUC20 overlapping transcript (ENSG00000281915.2)". Lineage: Eukaryota; Metazoa; Chordata; Mammalia; Primates; Hominidae. The record is from RNAcentral.